Molecule: long non-coding RNA, 1458 nt
Organism: Myotis lucifugus (little brown bat)
Lineage: Eukaryota; Metazoa; Chordata; Mammalia; Chiroptera; Vespertilionidae
Exons: 4
Source: RefSeq, a predicted model, not a curated record
UGAGAGCUCCUGCGACUGUUCCAACCCAGAGGCUUGGCAUUGGCUUUGUUUCCUCGGAAAAGAACAAAAUACAGGGUGUGGCAUGCAGGCUCCUGAGGGUGGGGCAGGCUGUGUCACCCAGGGUGCAUUUUUUUCUUUUCCUGUCCUGUGGCUGCUGGGAGAGCAGCUACUUCCUCUCAGGAAAAAUGGCCAUUUCGGUUUGGGGGCCGAUGAGCAAAUGUUCCUGGCUGCUGUAUUUCCAGGUCUCCCUGCAGUGCUUCCACCGCAGCAUCUCCUUAGGCGCCUCCCUCCCUGCACCAAAGCCUUGGUGAUUUUUAAUGACCAUCAAUCUUCAGUCCUGGCUCUGUCCAGCCCUAAAGUGUUGGCUUGUCUGAAGUUACACCACCUCUGAUCAAGCCCUGGCUUCCUGGCUUACCAGCUGAGAAUGGUCCCCAAACUCUCCAAGCUUCCAUCUAUUCAUCUGAGAAAUGGGGAUUAGGAUUAUGAUGAUGAUCAAAUGCCAUAAUCCAAAGCAGAGUGAGUGAACCAUACAUUCUGCACUGUCUACAGUAACAGAAGAAACUGCUGGAAGAAUAAUGGCCAAUGUCUCACUAAGAACCCUUAAAAACAGCCACUACCAAUUUAUUCACUGAAAGCUCUAAAUGGGAGGAAAACAAGCCAAAUAUUAAUGAUGUGCUUACUGUCCCAUCCACAGGAAUAGGACAUAAGGAACGGAUGACAUUAUUUUUCAUGAGCCAGAAACAUAAAGAAAGUAUAGAAGAUUUGUGCAUAGAAGGAUGAACCUGUGAAAAAGGCAGCAAGAAGGUGGCCAUCUGCAAGCCAAAAAGAGAGGCCUCAGAGGACACCAACCCUACCAACAUCUAAUCUUGGACUUCCAGCUUCCAGAACUGUAACAAAAUAAAUUUCAGUUGCUUAAGCAAAAAAGAGAAAAGAAAUGAUAGAAGAAUGCCUAAGAAACUUACAGUAGCUGUUACGUGGGUUGGGUGUAGACAUAGAUGAAAGAAAACUUUUUAUUGAUACCUUCAUAUAUUUGGGGGCUAGGAACUAUGUGAGUUUAUAUAAAAUGUUUAUUAAAAUUUUUGUUUAAAUAAAAAAUGCUGAUUAAUGGAAAAGAACAUGAAGUUAGUGUCUCCAACUUAGCCCAUUCUUUCUCAUGACUACAGAGAACUGUUAUAGUUUGUGACAUAUGCUUCUAGAUUAUAUAUAUAUACUGAUUUCCAUUCAUCAAAAUAUAUAGAUGCAGUACUUUUAUUUUACCAGUAUUCUGGCUUUUAAUGAGAUCAUACUAUGCACAUUGUUCUAGAUUUUGCUUUUUGACUCAGCCGUAAAUGCUAGGCAACUUUGUUUGUAUACAUAGUACUGUGAUUAAACAUUUCCCAAGUGAUCAACAUUUAGGUUAUUUUUAAGUUUCCUACCACAAACAGUAACAAUAAAAAUAUUUGAAUAUGUGAAAUAUAU